AUACUUAGUGGCAGACGGGUGAGUAACAUGUAGGUAUCUACCCUUUGGCCUGGAAUAACACGAGGAAACUUGUGCUAAUACCGGAUAAGUCUUUACGGAGAAAGCUUUAUGCACCAUUGGAUGAGCCUGCACUUGAUUAGUUUGUUGGUGGGGUAAUGGCCUACCAAGACUGUGAUCAAUAGCUGAUUUGAGAGGAUGAUCAGCCACAUUGGGACUGAGACACGGCCCAAACUCCUACGGGAGGCAGCAGUGGGGAAUCUUGCACAAUGGAGGAAACUCUGAUGCAGCGAUGCCGCGUGAGUGAAGAAGGCCUUUGGGUUGUAAAGCUCUUUCGUCGGGGAAGAAAAUGACUGUACCCGAAUAAGAAGGUCCGGCUAACUUCGUGCCAGCAGCCGCGGUAAUACGAAGGGACCUAGCGUAGUUCGGAAUUACUGGGCUUAAAGAGUUCGUAGGUGGUUGAAAAAGUUAGUGGUGAAAUCCCAGAGCUUACCUCUGGAACUGCCAUUAAAACUUUUCA
This 517-nucleotide ribosomal RNA is filed under the name uncultured bacterium. RNAcentral's name for it is "bacterial SSU rRNA". It matches the Rfam family "Bacterial small subunit ribosomal RNA", at positions 88 to 639 of the family's 1533-position model. The record is from RNAcentral.